Molecule: ribosomal RNA, 1339 nt
Filed under: uncultured bacterium
Lineage: Bacteria
Description: 16S ribosomal RNA
Rfam family: Bacterial small subunit ribosomal RNA
Source: RNAcentral
GACGAACGCUGGCGGCGCGCCUAACACAUGCAAGUCGAACGGAGCUGAGAGGAGCUUGCUUUUCUUAGCUUAGUGGCGAACGGGUGAGUAACGCGUGAGUAACCUGCCCUGGAGUGGGGGACAACAGUUGGAAACGACUGCUAAUACCGCAUAAGCCCACGGUACCGCAUGGUACUGAGGGAAAAGGAUUUAUUCGCUUCAGGAUGGACUCGCGUCCAAUUAGCUAGUUGGUGAGGUAACGGCCCACCAAGGCGACGAUUGGUAGCCGGACUGAGAGGUUGAACGGCCACAUUGGGACUGAGACACGGCCCAGACUCCUACGGGAGGCAGCAGUGGGGGAUAUUGCACAAUGGGGGAAACCCUGAUGCAGCGACGCCGCGUGGAGGAAGAAGGUUUUCGGAUUGUAAACUCCUGUCGUUAGGGACGAUAAUGACGGUACCUAACAAGAAAGCACCGGCUAACUACGUGCCAGCAGCCGCGGUAAAACGUAGGGUGCAAGCGUUGUCCGGAAUUACUGGGUGUAAAGGGAGCGCAGGCGGACCGGCAAGUUGGAAGUGAAAUCCAUGGGCUCAACCCGUGAAUUGCUUUCAAAACUGCUGGCCUUGAGUAGUGCAGAGGUAGGUGGAAUUCCCGGUGUAGCGGUGGAAUGCGUAGAUAUCGGGAGGAACACCAGUGGCGAAGGCGACCUACUGGGCACCAACUGACGCUGAGGCUCGAAAGCAUGGGUAGCAAACAGGAUUAGAUACCCUGGUAGUCCAUGCCGUAAACGAUGAAAAAAGGGGUUGGAGGAUUGACCCCUUCAGUGCCGCAGUUAACACAAUAAGUAAUCCACCUGGGGAGUACGACCGCAAGGUUGAAACUCAAAGGAAUUGACGGGGGCCCGCACAAGCAGUGGAGUAUGUGGUUUAAUUUGAAGCAACGCGAAGAACCUUACCAGGUCUUGACAUCCGAUGCAUAGUGCAGAGAUGCAUGAAGUCCUUCGGGACAUCGAGACAGGUGGUGCAUGGUUGUCGUCAGCUCGUGUCGUGAGAUGUUGGGUUAAGUCCCGCAACGAGCGCAACCCUUAUUGCCAGUUACUACGCAAGAGGACUCUGGCGAGACUGCCGUUGACAAAACGGAGGAAGGUGGGGAGGACGUCAAAUCAUCAUGCCCUUUAUGACCUGGGCUACACACGUACUACAAUGGCGUUUAACAAAGAGAAGCAAGACCGCGAGGUGGAGCAAAACUCAGAAACAACGUCUCAGUUCAGAUUGCAGGCUGCAACUCGCCUGCAUGAAGUCGGAAUUGCUAGUAAUCGCGGAUCAGCAUGCCGCGGUGAAUAAGUUCCCGGGCCUUGCAC